Molecule: long non-coding RNA, 747 nt
Filed under: Triticum aestivum (bread wheat)
Lineage: Eukaryota; Viridiplantae; Streptophyta; Magnoliopsida; Poales; Poaceae
Description: long non-coding RNA (TAES_LNC003171)
Source: RNAcentral
ACUCGUCCUUGAGAUAUCCUGAAGUCAACACAUGCAGUCAAUUGCUUUGCCACUUUGAUUUCCUCAGUUUGCAUAGCAAGCGGAUGAUACACUCCUACAGAGAACGGUCACCUAAUUAAAUUGUGUGUGGUUAAUUUGGAACAUACUAAUGCAGAGAGAAAAAUAAGUUAACUUUACAUGGGAGUCAAGGAGUAUAACUCAUCCAUGAAAUAUCCUGAAGUCAACAGCUGUUGUACAAUGCUUUCCCAUCACUUUGAUUUCCUCAGUUUGCAUAGCAAGAGGAGGAUGCAUUCCUACAAAGAACAGUCACCUAACUUAACUUUUGUGUUGCUCAAGUUUGGUACGAAAUGAACUGCUAAGGCUAUCUUUGGUACGAUUCUCAAGUAACCGUAUCGACCCGGAAAAGCUUUUGAAAUUUUAGAUGUGUUGAAGCAUAGAAGCUCGAUAACAAAUUAGAGAUUACAAUGCGGAAGCAUUAGUCAUUAUGUGCAUUAAGACAGACCUUGAUGCCUCCAAACUUCUGCAACAUUAAGAAGACGUCUUUGCCUCUGUUUGAGUAGAAAUAUGGUCCAUUAGUUUGCCGAAAAGGAAAGAUAAUAAACAAGAUACAUUUGAAGCUUGAACAACAGAUUUACACUAUGAAGAAAGCAAAAAAAAAUCUUCCUACUAACAUCAUUGGGAAGACAUGAACAUCUACAUUAGGUUUCGCAUGGCAUUAAAUUAAACAAAGGUAACCAGUUAAAUUCC